AGAGAGAGAGAGCUGGGAGCUCUGACCCGGACGCCACCGACCCGAGAAGGAGACCCGGCCGCCGCGCCACCGUCCGGCCACCGAUCGCUGACGGACGACCACCAUCUGCUUCAUCACCGCGUCGCCUACCUCCCUACACCCUCAGAUCGCCCAUGCACCGGACGAGGAGGGAGACUCGACAGUGAGAAGCAGCGACUGCGCCGGCGAGUUUCUGCAAUUUCCGGCCACCGCUUGGGCCGCAUUCGGUAUGAAAGUCCAUCCUCUUGUCAUGCUCAACACUCUAGUGUAAUUGGUUUUUGAAAUCGAUUAAGUUUUGAUGAUUUGGUUUCUGGGUUGGUUUUGAGCUCGACGCUGUCACCGACCCCGGCGACUUUUCCGGCGAUCUUCUGGGCUGUUCGAGAUUUUGGAGUCUUUCAUUCGUCUUUGAUGGAAACUCUGAACCUUGGGCUCGAAAGGGUGGUUGUUCGAGCUUAAUCCGCAGCGUUGGGCCGAGUUGACCAACUCAGAAUUGAUUAAGCCGGUUCCGGCUUGCUGUGUUCGUCGUCAAGGAGCAGACCUGCAAGUUCAGGGUUCUGUUCUUGAUCUCGUUUAAUCACAAGGUCAGUUGGAAGUUGUUUGAGAAUUCUGGGGAUUCAGUUGUGUAGUUAGCUGCUGGAAUUGAUUUUCCCUUGUUUAUAUGCUUACUGCAAAUUCGUGUUUUUGAGAAUGGUGAAUUGAAUCGAUGUGAUUUCAUUCUUGGUUGAUAGUUACUGACAGUUGAGAAAUGAGAACUAUGUUGCGAUUAAGUUGGUUUUUAUAAGCCCGACUUUUUAUCAAUGUUCCUACGGCAAUUUGUUGAGAAAAAUUAUUGGUGAAUCUGUGUUCAAGUUUGGUAUUACAGUUUAACUUGGAAUCAUGUGGGUGUCCAUAGUAAUUCCUUCGAAUUACUAUGUGACUAGAUUGUUAAUGGAAUUUGAAAAGUUAUAAGAAUUUGGAAAUGGUGGUAAUAGUAUGAGAAUCGAAUAAUGUUUCAAGUUCAAAUGAUAUCGGAAACUGGGGCUUAGUUAUAAUUGGUUGGUCAAACGUGGUCAAAUUGGUCAACUCCUGGUCAAACCAGGAAAAGUUGGUUGGACGAUUUAUUAAUCGUCGAGAUUUCAUAUAAUUGUUGAAUGAGAUAUUAACUAUCAAAAUGUCGGAAUCUAAGACUCCAGUUACCCGAGGAACGGAAGGUUUGUGAAUUUCGGAUAACGUAAAAGGUUAAAGCAUCGGAAUCCAGUGUGGUUGCAGGUACUGUGCACUGGAAAUGGGAUUGGAGCGGACGGAGCUGGGUGUGCAUAUUUCAAUAGAAGUCAGGUUCUGGGUUCCAAUCUUAUUCCUGUUCCUUAAAAUUGUAUUUUCGGAACUUGCCACAAUUUGUUUGUUUUAUGCUAAGUCCUUUAUUCCUCGGUUGUUUGCAACGUUAAGUCCUGGACGAACAUUUGAAUUAAAAGUUUUAAAGUUUUCACCUCAAUAUUAUUUUAAACGUUUUCGCUGUGUGGUUUACGAAAAAUUAUUUAAUAAAAUGCCUUGCGGGUUUCUGGAAUGUAAACCGAACCUUCGGUUUAUGUUUCGGCGUCUCGCGACACUGUGACGUGUUCAAGCUGGUGAGGUGCAGUUUAGGGCAUUACACCUACACUAGUCUUGCGAUGGGCCAUCCUACAAGCCAAGGCUCGCUUUGGCAUCUUUGAUGUAUGAAUAGGCAUUCUCUCGACCUCUAUUUAGUCCAUUAUUCCAAGCCUUGUGGGAGUUAUUAAGCCAAGGAUGUUCUUGAUUAUCUGUCUUAGCGUAGCACAUGAGGCGCGCAUGUUACUUGGUUAUUAGCUUGUUGUCUUUUAUACCUUCUGGAGUUCUGGUUUGUUGCAAAUAGCUAAUAAUCAGCGGCAUAAGUUCGGGCGAAGAAGUGUCUCUUCCAGUCUAGCUCCUUAUGCAGAGAAUUGUGCAGCAGGCGAGUCUGAAUCAUGGCUUUACCGAAGCAGACCACUAUUCAAAUCAUGGCUUUCUUUUCCUUUAUCGAAGUCUAAACGCAAGCCUCCUCACAGCUUCAAAUGAAGUAAGAAACUAAGAAUAAAUUCAUAUCUUCAUGAAAUUGCCAUUUAAGAGGUCUAUUUACCUAUGAAGAUCGAAUACCCAUCUCUGAGGUUCCUAUUUCAAUUAGAACAGAGAAGAGGGCACCGCUUCAAAGGGGCUCCAUUCCUUUGCUCUAUACUUUGUGGUGCUAAGCUACACUUUAGAAUGGUAGAAUGCCUCAA
This is a long non-coding RNA of Rosa rugosa (rugosa rose), 2267 nucleotides long. RefSeq lists it as uncharacterized. The record is from RefSeq and is a predicted model, not a curated record. The transcript has 3 exons. NCBI's taxonomy places the organism in Eukaryota, Viridiplantae, Streptophyta, Magnoliopsida, Rosales, Rosaceae.